UGAGGAAUAUUGGACAAUGGAUGGAAAUCUGAUCCAGCCAUGCCGCGUGCAGGAAGACGGCCCUAUGGGUUGUAAACUGCUUUUAUACGGGAGCAAUAAGGUCUACGAGUAGGCCGAUGAGAGUACCGUAGGAAUAAGCACCGGCUAACUCCGUGCCAGCAGCCGCGGUAAUACGGAGGGUGCAAGCGUUAUCCGGAUUUAUUGGGUUUAAAGGGUGCGUAGGCGGUCAAUUAAGUCAGCGGUGAAAGUUUUCAGCUUAACUGGAAAAAUGCCGUUGAUACUGAUAGGCUAGAAUAUGGUUGCUGUGGGUGGAAUGUGUGGUGUAGCGGUGAAAUGCUUAGAUAUCACACAGAAUAUCAAUUGCGAAGGCAGCUCACAAAGCCAUUAUUGACGCUGAGGCACGAAAGUGUGGGGAUCAAACA
This 422-nucleotide ribosomal RNA is filed under the name uncultured prokaryote. RNAcentral describes it as "bacterial SSU rRNA". It matches the Rfam family "Bacterial small subunit ribosomal RNA", at positions 355 to 774 of the family's 1533-position model. The record is from RNAcentral.